UAGAAACUCCUCAUGCUUUACUCAUCCCAGCCAGUAGGAGCAAGCGCAGGGGUGGGGGCUGCUGCACCUGCAAAUUGCGGGGUGGCGGCUGCGGCUGCGGCUGCACCGGCAAAUUGCGGUGGUGGAGCUGCAGCAUCCCAUUCUGUGGUGAAUCCACCUAAAGUUGAACCCAAAAAGAAGUGUUAUCAGAAAGAAAAGAAAUUGAGAAAGAAAAAAAAAAAAGGGAGUUGGAUCAAAAGCAGCAUCUGACAACUUCAUGAAAUGUAAAUUUAAAAUGAUUAAGGGAGCUAAACUGGUGUUGGAAUAACUCAAUACCUUGUUCUGGAUAGAAAUUGGCAGCAGGAACAGCAGCAAUAGGUGGUGGAGCUGCUUCAGCAGUCCAUUGGCCAUCAGCAAUUUGGGCACCCCAAUCAGCUGCAGGAAGCCCAUAAUCAGCAGGAGGUAGUGCAUAAUCAGCAACGGGCACUGCUUCCUCCUCUUCCUGUUCCUUGGUUUCCUCAGGUUCUCUAUAGAAAAACAAGUCCACCUGCUCAUGGAAAGAUAAAUGGAUAUAUAAUAAACUAAAGUAGAAAAAACACUGAUGGCCACUUAUACAAGCAUUUUGACACAAACUGUCUGUAACAAAUGUUUAAACUUUUGUGCACCUUUCAACGAGACAGGAAUAUAAUAUGCCUUAUUCAUAUAAAUAGCUGUUAUAAAUGCCUACAUUUUCUACAGGUGACUACAUGAGUCAGAGGAUGUGUGUUCAAGCAAUGAAAUUGUAUAUACUGGGAAUUGAAAGAGCAAACAAUAGAUUGGAACCAUUGAAUGCAAAAAGCCAUCAGCUACUAUGAGUGUACCAUAACAUCCCACUUGUGCCCUUGAGGAAUAGUGCCACGCAUCUGUAGAACCAUUCUUGCCAAGAGCCAAAAUAGGCACCCAAUACUGUGCUUUCCUUUGUUAUUUGCAGGGAUGCCAAUAUCCACAUAUCGCAUAGGAGAAUCAGUAUCACAGAAAGCGAUGGUGGGAAUGUUUCCUAGAGAAGAUUCCUUAAUAGGCUGCAUGUGUAAGAAAAGUUAGAAUUCGGUCAAGGUUCAUAUAGGAAAUAAAACAUUCAUAAAAAAGGCAUCCACACUAAGCUUAAGGCCAUGAAUAGGGGAGGAUUCACCUGGUGAUCAGUUCUUGGAUCAGUGAGGAUCAAGAGACGAGGCUCACUGAAAGAUGUUUGGAGCUGGUUAGUGAAUGUACCGGGAGUGUGCCUUCCAGCAAUAGCAUGAGCACCGGUGUAUUGAGCAAACUUGAGGACUGCUCUUUGACCAUAAGGCCUUGCAGACUGAACAAUAAUGUCCUGAGGGUUCUCAAUGCCAACAAUAACCCUAGCAGCCAGUUGAAGUUUUUCCCAAGUCUUACCAAGAUUGAUAAUAUAAAUUCCUGGGAAGGAACAAGGAGUAAUUCAUACCAACAUCAUUAACAUCUUGACAGCACAUCAAACUUCAGGAUUUAGAUAAGCAACAGUAAAGACAAGCAAGACUAGGAAAUAGAUUCUGGAAUGCAAAAUCAUGAUGCAUACAACUAAUACAUGUAUAUGAAUCUCUAGAACUGCUAAAAUACAACUUGUAUAUGCACAAGUGUCUCCAAGAAAAAAGCAGUAUUUCCGUAAAGAUCAAUUCGAAUUAAAAAGUAACUACUUCAAACAAGACAGAUUCUUAAGCAAUUCAAGUAAUCCAAUUCCAUAAUAUAUCUUCCUUCUACUCUGAUUCAUUCACAAGGCAGCUUAAGAGGCUAAGACUAUUGAAUCAGUGAUUCGCUUUAUUCCUAAUUCUACACAAAAUUCACAUCAUCAAAAUAAAAAGAAAAAAAAGGGGAUUAUAUCAGAACUAGUCCCGGAUGAUCGAGUGGAAACAUAAUCAUCUGCAGCCAUUGAAUAUACCGCUUAUCGGAGAUCUUCCUAAUAAGAUAAUCAAACUUACAUAUGUAUCCAAGAGAGAGUAAAUACCAUCAUUUCGGCGCUUGAACACGUAGCGUUCCAUCUGGAAAUCGCAGUUCUUAGUGCCGAGGUGAACUUCGGCAGCCAACAUCAUCUGUAUAUCCAACUCCUUCUGGGACAAAGUCCGGGUGGGAGCUGCUGCCAUCGCCAUGGCUUCUAUGAAACAGCUUGAGAGGAAGAGAACUGUAACCGUCUGUGUCAGAUAGAGAGCGAGGGAUGAGCUAGGUUUUUCCGAGGGAGACUGAGAGAGUAUAUGAUUUUAAUUUAUAUUAAAAUAAUAUAUAAUAUUGUAAUUAUCAAUUAAAAAAAUAUAAAAAAUAUUUUAUAAAUUUAUUUAUUUUUAUUUUAGAGUAGAAAUUAAUUUAUAUUAAAUUAUUUUUUAUAUUAAUAUUUUUAAUGUUAUUUAAAAAUUAUCUCCAUUUGUUAAUCGUCCAAUAUUAUAAAUAUUCGAUUUGAAUUAAAAAAUUAAUAAAAUUAUGAAUUUUUUUUCUUUUCCCUAAAAUUUAUUUCAAUAAAAAAUAUUGAAAUUAAAAGUAUCUUAAGAUCUCAUUUCUAACUCUUUAAUUUUUUCAAGAAACAAAAUGAAAUCCGCUAGAAUAGAUGUCUUUUUUAUUUCUUUCUUUGGUUUUUUUUUUUUUUUUUUCUGUAUACUAUUUUUAAUUUUUUAUUAGUUUUUUUAAUUCUUCUUUAUUAAUAGUCUUUUAAAUAAUUGUUAAUAACUUAUAAUUUAAACAAUGCAAAUUAAAUUAAGGCAUCAAAUUUUUUUUUUUUGAAAUAGGAAUUAAGAGAGUAGAACAUGGGAUCUUUUAGAUUUACUCAAAUAUAUUUACUAUGAGACUAUAUCUGUGAGUGCAAAGUAUUAAAAUUAUUUGAUGAUUAUAAAAUUAUGAUUUACAUAUUUUUUUUAAAAAUACAUGUCAGAAUGUAUAUAUAUAUACUUAAUAAUAAAGUUUUGAUGCAUUUUAGGAUAUUAUUAAAAUUAAUUGUCCGUCUAAGAUCAUUGAUAGAACUUAUUUUUUGUUUAAAAAUACUAUUGAGAACACCAAUUUAUUGCAACUCUCUUACUGACUUUCAAUUAUAACACUAAAUUUUAAAAUCUUUAUUAACAAACAACUUUUUAACAAGUUUUUUAACACGUCUUUAAAUUGGUUUAGCAGUAUUCAAAUUAACAGCAUAUUUUGAUGCACAUCUUAACCCCAAAAAAAAAAAUUCCUUAAAUGUACCAACCAAGACGUUCUAGCAUAUGUUGCCUAUUUAGCCUAAUCCUUGCAAGCUUUUCAAAACGGGAUUGAACUAAGCAAACUUACCAUUAAUACAUUCUAACUUCCAAUUUCUAUCUAUUCACUUCUUCAACAUGGCAAAUUAAGAAGUGAUCUCAACGGUUGCAAAUAAAAAAAUAUAGCAUCAAUACAUCAAGGUUCAUGAAACAAAUAAAAUUACUGAGCGAGUAAUUCAAAAAAUGCAGUUAGCAACUGUCAACUCCAUUUCACUCCAUAUCUUAUGGAUACCAGUAGUAACUGAAAUCGAUUGAACCAUUAAGAGCAUGACUUAUGGCACUUAUAUUUCGCACUGAAAGCAAGACUUACAACAACUAUCAAAAAGUUGAAGCCAUAACCUAUAAAUUCACGUAAUAUCACGUAUAUAGACAAUGGUCAAAAUUUGUAUUCGCAUUACAGUGGAAGGUGAUUUGAGUGGAAACACCAUGACCUAUAGACAUUACAGAUACCAUAGAUUUAAGAUCUCCGACUAAGCUAUUCCAACAUCAUUCAUAUGAAACAUUGUAACGACCCGGAAAUCGGACCGCUACCGGAGCUAGGAUCCAGAUCGGCUUAAGGCCGCCGGGACCCGUAGCAAGCCCAUCCUGAACUCUGUGUACCUGAUAAAUCCCAUACAUGAUCAAACAUAAACAUAAAAAAACUGAAAACUUUCCUCCCACUUACCAAGCUUGACCUGCAUGCACUAUGUCUGGAAACAUAGAACCCACUCUCAUAGGGUCAGCAUAUCAUAAGUCAGCCUUGGUUCCACACAUUUCUCAACAAGAAACAUAAAACAGGAUCAUGCAUAACAAGGGAUUAACCAUACACUAGGGCCAAGCACAAUACUCUAUCCAUUACAUUACAUAUUAAUCCUUUAAAUUACAUCAUGUCCGCUACUCUAUUACAUAGCCAAAACCUUUACCCUUGACGCCUUCCUGGACUACCUCUGACCUGCAAAACUAGGGUGAGGGGAGAGGGAUGAGCUAAAAAGCCCAGUGAGGAGAAACAAUGAAAACUGUUCAUUAAUUACAUGCUUUCAUGGAAUGCGUCACAGCACAAACAUUUCACAUCUCGGAUUGGACAUGACCUCAAAACUCCCUCUGUCAGCGCCCGGCCCCCCCUAGGGAGCUCACACAGGUCUUUCCUUACUUAACAGAUCGUGGGCUAUUGAGGUCGCCUUGGUCCAUCCACAUCAACAAUAAAGAAUGCAAUGCAUCAUAGUCGUGACUACUAAUGCAAUCAUCCUAUUACAUAUACUCAUGAUGCAUGAUACAUGCUCAAAACAUUCAAUUUCUCAUAUUGAAAACAUUAAGUUUAGUUCUACUCACCUCUGGCAGACGCUGGACUGACUCUGCAACAGCUAACACUGAUGGCCUUCUCGGUCCCUCGGGUCCGAUCCUACACAGGUGGACUCGAAUAAGGUGCCAAACACACUCUAAGCAACUUAUAAACAACUCCCUAAAAACCCCCCUAAAACAUCCUCAAGCAAGCCUGGAAAACAAGCAAAAAAAAGCUGGACAGGGCAUCUUUGGCGGCACCUUCGGCGGCCGAACCCCCUCUUCAGAGACGAAACUCGGGCACUUUCGGCGGCACCUUCGGCAACCGAAAGUCCCUUCCAGAUUCGAAAGUCUAAACUUUCGGGGGCAAGGUUCGGGGGCUGAAAGACCUUCCAGAGCCGAAAGUCAUCCACCUUCGGCGGCAUGUUCGGCGGCCGAACCUUCCCUCCAGAGACGAAAGUCUCAACCUUCGGGGGCAAGGUUAGGCGGCCAAAACAGCCAUCCUAAGGGGUUCGGCGGCCGAACCUUGCUUCGGCAGCCGAACCUGAGUUCAUCCAGAACUCAGCUUCAUGCACAAACAAGCCUCCCAAACCUUCCAAACACCCAAAACAUGCAAACCACAAUUUCACAACCUGCAUAUACUCAAGUAUAGGCACAAAGGGGUUCAAAACUAACUUAAAACCCCAACAAACAACACAACCAAACACAUAUACAUGCUUUGACCACAAAUCAACCAAAACCUCAACUUACCCUAAACAUGCAUCUCUACUCAAAAACUCCAUAAACCCUUCAUAAAACAUGAAAAGAAGUUCAGGAUCUACACUUACCUCUUACAAACAAGAAGAUAAACGAUCCUAACGUGGAGAUAUGGAGAAACUCUCCCUCAAAGUCUCCAACUUCAAAACUUUUGGGUGAUUUGCUCAAAAGCUUCAAAACAACAUAAAACCCAUCAAAACUUUGCAAGAUUUGAAGAAAACAUGAAGAUCACCCAAGGAAGAACAUGAUCUCACCUCUGUCUGUGAAUGGAAAGAAAAAUCUUAUCCAUUCAUCGACCUAGGGCCUUUUAUAGGUGGCUGGUCAGACCACCUUCGGCGGCCAAACGUGAAACCAAAACCAUGCAACGUUCGGCGGCCGAACCUCACUUUCAGCGGCCGAACCUUGCAUUUCUUCUUUGGCUCUUUUCUUUCAAAAAACUCAUUUCCUUUUGUACUCAAAACCUUAAACCACUUAAAAACAUUUGAGAAAACCUUUCUUUUACCCUUCUAGGAACCUUCGACACCCUCGGAUUCCAUAUUCCAACGGAGCUCCCGCCGAAAAAUAAGAAUUCUGAUACCGGCGUCUAGCCGGGUAUUACAAACAUCAAAUCAAAAAUUGAAAUUCCUAAAAAAUUAUAAUGAAACAGAAUAAAAGCACUUCAAGUAAGAAAAUUUGCACAAAAACGUAUGCAAAUGCAAAUGAAGGAAGGAGAUAGUAUAUACCAUCAUUGCGGCGCUUGAAAACAUAAUGUUCCAUCUAGAAGUCGCAGUUCUUUGUGCAGAGGUGGACUUCAGCAGCCAACAUCAUCUGUAUAUCCAACUCUUUCUGGGACAGAGCCCGUGCUGGUUCUGGUGUUGUGCCGGUGGCCAUGGCUGCGCAAAGCAAAAGCUCGAUUGCUUGAGGGAGACGGAGCGAGAGUAUGACCAACAGAUGAGGUAAGAGUUCUUUAACCUAGAGGGAAGAAACUAGGGUUUUAAGGGCCCGUUGAAAUAUUAGCGCGUCUUAGGCAGACAAUUUUUAGGAAAUCCUAGACUCCAUUGAAGUUUAAAUAUUAAAGCCCCUUCAAAAUCCAUGUUGAUUUUUUUUAAAUGUCAUUCAAAUAUUUAAUUAUUUUAUAAAUUUAUAAUUGAAUUAUACUAAAUUCGAUAUCAAAUUAGUUUUCAAACAUUUUAUAUUUAAUGUAUUAAUAUUAUGUUAUCUAAUAUGUAUGAAUAUAUUUUCAUGAAAUUAGACAAUGUCCUAAAGUGUGAGGUAUGGUUUCUUUUAAAAUAAUUAUUUUAUAAGAAAUUUACAAUUUAAUUCUUGAGUAUUACCAUUAUUAACAAGUUAGUCCCUAUAUUUUCAGAAACAUAUUAAAAUGUUCCUAUCUUUUAUCUUCGUCAACAAAAUGAUCAUUCCGUCUACUUCUGCCGUUAAAAAUAUAGCAAAAGACCAAAUUACCCCCUUUUUCCCUCCUCCUCCUCCUCCUCCUCCUUCUUCUUUUUUAUCAAUUCUUCCUCCUCUUCUUAUUAUUCUUCUUUGAUUUUUCUUCGAAUUUUCUUUUUAUUCUUCUUCCUUAAGGAGGAGAAGGAGGAGGGGACUAUUCUUCUUUUUCUUCUUCUUUUUCUUCAUCAUCAUCUUCUUCUUCUCCUCCUUCUUCUUCUUUUUCUUCUUCUUUUUUUUUUUUUUCCUUUUUGAAAUAGGGAUUGGGGAGUAGAACUGAGACCUCUCAGAUUUACUCAUAUGCACUUACCACUAGACUAUGCCUGUGAGUGCAAGGUAUCAAAAUUAUUUGAUGAUUAUAAAAUUAUGAUUUACAUAUUUUUUUUUAAAGAUACAUGUCAGAAUAUAUAUAUAUAUAUAUACAUUUAAUAAUAAAGUUUAGAUGCCUUUUAGGAUACUAUUAAAACUAAUUGCCCGUCUAAGAUCAUUGAUAGAACUUAUUUUUUGUUUGAUAAUGCCAUUGAGAACACCAAUUUAACACAACUCUCUUACUGACUUUAAAUUGUAACACUAAAUUUUAAAAUCUUGAUUAACAAACAACUUUCUAACAAGUUUUUUAACACGUCUUUAAAUUGGUUUAGCACUAUUUAAAUUAACAGCAUAUUUUGAUGCAUGCCUUAACCAAAAAAAAAAAAUUCCGUAAAUAUACUAACCAAAACGUCCUAGCAAAUGUUUCCUAUUUAGCCUAAUCCUUGCAAGCUUUUCAAAACGGGAUUAAACUAAGCAAACUUACCAUAAAUACAUUCUAACUUCCAAUUUCUAUGUAUUCACUUCUUCAACAUGGCAAAUUAAGAAGUGAUCUCAACGAUUGCGAAUAAGAAAAUAUAGCAUUACUAUAUCAAGGUUUAUGUUAAAAUUUUAAAAUCCAAACGUCUACAACUUAGCUAUACUCUAGGUAAAUAUAAAAUAAAAAAAAGGGAAAUUUGAUGUUGCUUAAUCCCUCAAGCAAGUAAUAAUCACGAAUAAUAACAAUAAACAUGGUAUUGACGUUAUCUUGUUUCACUCAUCCUAGCCAGUAACAGAAGGUGCAGGUGCUACUGCAGUAGCAAAUUGGGGUGGAGCUGGUGCAACAUCCCAUUCACCUGAAGUAGGAACACAUAAAGAUAUUGUGUUAGGGGCCAAAAACACUACCACCAGCAUGGUGAAACGCAUGUAACAUUGCAAUGGUACAACAAAAAAUUGUAAAUAUAUAAACAGGAUCACAAGGUAGAUUAAAUGAAGUUUACUAGUGUUUGAAAAACUUAUACCUUGAUCUGGAUAUACGGCAGCAGGAACAGUUGAAAUAGGUGGUGGAACUGCUUCAGCAUUCUACUGGCCAUAAGUAAUUUGGGCACCCCAAUCAGCAGAAGCAAGUCCAAAAUUAGCAGCAGGGAGUGCAUAAUCAGCAACUGCUACCGCUUCCUCCUCUUCCUGUUUCUUAGUCUCCUCAGGUUCUCUGUAGAAGAAUAAGUCCACCUGCACAUGGAAAACAAAUAAAUGAAAAUGUAAUAAACCUAAAAGCUUGAAAUUGUAGCCAAUUAUGCAAACAAAGUGAAAAAAAUAUAACCAAAGAAUAUACUUUCAUGAGAAAGAAGCAUCAUAUAACUUGUCCAUAUGCACACAUAGCUAUGAAAUGUCGACAUAGAUUACAGGCCAAUAAACACAUAAGGUAACAGGAUGAGUGUUCACAUUAUCAAUUUGUAAAUAUCACAAAUCAGCAGAGAUGUUUGUAAAACGAGCAGCCAUUGCCAAAAAAACAGUUAUAUGAUAAUGUGCAUGUACCAUAACAUCUCACUUGUGCCCUUAAGGAAUAGUGCCACGCAUCUACAGAACCAUUCUUGCCAAGAGCCAAUAUAGGCAUUCAAUACUCUGCCUCCCUUUCAUAUUUCGCACUGAAAGCAAGACUUACGACAGCUAUCAAACGGUUGAAGCCACAACCUACAAAUUCACGUAGUAUCACAUAUUUAGACAAUGGUCAAAAUUUGUAUCUGAGUUAGAGUCGAAGGUGAUUUGAGUGGAAACACAAUGACCUACAGACAUUACGGAUACCACAGAUCUGAGAUCUCCUACUAAGCUAUUCCAACAUCAUUCAUAUGAUAAAAAAAACAUCAAAUAAAAAAUUGAAGUUCCUAAAAAAUUACAAUGAAACAGAAUAAAAGCACUUCAAGUAAGAAAAUUUGCACAAAAACAUAUGUAAAUGCAAAUGAAGGAGGGAGAUAGUAUAUACCAUCAUUGCGGCGCUUGAAAACAUAAUGUUCCAUCUGGAAGUCACAGUUCUUUGUACAGAGGUGGACUUCGGCAGCCAACAUCAUCGGUAUAUCCAACUCUUUCUAGGACAGAGGCCGUGCUGGUGCUACUGUUGUUCAGGUCGCCAUGGCUGUGCAAAGCCAGAGCUCGAUUGCUUGAGGGAGACGAAGCGAGAGUAAAACCAAAAUGAGGUAAGGGUUCUUUAACAUAGUGAGGUGAGGGAAGAAACUAGGGUUUUAAGGGCCUGUUGCAAUAUUAGCACAUCUUGGGCUGGUAAUUUUUAAAAAAGCCUAAACUCCAUGGAAGUUUAAAGAUUAAAGCCCCUUCAAAAUCCACGUUGAAUGUUUUUUCCAAAUGUCAUUCAAAUAUUUAAUUAUUUUAUAAAUUUAUAAUUGAAUAUACUAAAUUUGAUAUCAAAUUAGUUUUCAAACAUUUUAUACUUUAUGUAUUUAAUAUAAUAUUAUGGUAUCUAUGAAUAUAUUUUCAUGAAAUUAGACAAUGUCCUAAAGUCAGGUAUGGUUUCUUUUAAAAUAAUUAUUUUAUUUGAGGAAGAUUAAUCAAUAAAAUUAAGAUUUUCACGAGUUUCCUGUAGUGAUAUUUCUAUGAAGGUUUAAAAUCCCCUACUUUCUAACUUAGUUAAUGGAUUGGAAAUAUUUUAGAAUCUUACUUCUCAUUAUAUUUAUCUUAAUUUUAUAAAAUCUUACUUUUCUCUAUUAAAACAUAAUGCAAGGUUAACAAGCAUUUUAAUCAUGUAAAAAAAUAUUAUACAUAAAGUAAAAUAAUCUCAUAUCGUAUGCAAUUCUACUUUUAUUUGAACUCUUAAAGAUUCAACAAAAAAAAGAAAAUUUAAAGUAUUUUUUUAAAAUAAUCAAAUCACGAUAACAAAUGUAAAAUUUUAACAGCAUAAUUUAUAUAUUUUUAAGAACUUGAAAUUUCAGAAAAGGAAAAAGAGAACAUUAUACAUUACUUGAUAUGCAUACAUAUAAAUAUAAAUUACUUCAAGUUGAAACCUUAAUUUCUCAAGACUCCCACUCAUGAAGGCCUUCUUACAUGCCAUUAAAUAUUUAUUAGUGUUGUAAAGCUCAUAUACUUCUGAAGGUGUAGAGUUUGAGGCUCAAAACCUAUUAGAUAUGGAAGUAGGAAAACGUAGUUUGAGUCAUACGUUGUAGCGAAUCAACGUAUUUGAACUGAAAUUGAUUUUUUGGUUCAAGUCCGUGAGCGCGAGCUUUACUCCUCUUACUUGCCAUUUACAAACCCAAUAACAAAAAGUCAUUUAUAAACCAAGAGAAAAGUUUGUGGCUUUCCGAUGUGGGAUAAAAGUUUUUUAAAUAUAGAAUUUUAUAACAAUUCCCCACAAAUUUCAAAAAAUUUUCUUUGCUGGGUUUAAGUUUUGAGUGAAAAUGUUUGGAAUCUAGUAUAUUCUAGACUAUGAAUCAGUCUUAGACUGAUAAGAUAUAACAUACAGAGUAAUUGGUGAAGUUUUUGCUUCUAUGAAUUAAGUACUCUUUUUGUAGGCUGAAAUCUCAUCAAUCACAUUAUACUCCACAAUUCUUGCUAUUAACAUUGUAUUGCGUUAAAUAGGUCGUGCGCGCGCCUAGUAACUCAUAAGUGCUCUAAAGAUUAUGUCACAAUCUCAUAGGAGCGGCCCCACUCCACACUUACAUAGGUGAUACUAUCAAGUAUAUACUGCAAUUUAUACACCACCCAUAAAGGAUAUGAAUAUCAUUAAGAGAUUCCAUCUCAUCCUCUUAAUUAUUAAUGCAGUCUAGCAUUUCUCACACCAUAGGAAGGGACAACGACAAAUAGUGCUAGCAGAACUAACAAGUGACUUGUUAUUAUCCAUAUGAACCUUUUUCAUGGGAUCUCUAAUCACAAAGGUUGGGUUCCUAUUACUGUUAAUUUCAAAUUGGCUCAAGUUUCAUUCCACUUGAUGGUUUAUCUAUUAGUUUUCUCCCUAAAGGUUUAGUUCGCAGAUCGGCCAAAUUCACUUCUGACUUCACAUAAUCAAUGAAAAUAGUUUCAUCUUUCAGCAGCUGCUUAAUAACAUUAUGUUUUAAACAAAUAUGUUUAUUCUUAACAUUGAAAGUUUUAGUCUUUGUAAUGGCUAUUGCUCAUUGGCAAUCACAACGUAUUGAUAUAAAUGGUGUUGCUUUUAUUCCUAACGGAAUAUUUGCUAAGAAGUUUCUUAGCCAAUCAGCUUUAGUUCCAGCUAAUUUCAGAGUAAUAAACUACGACUCUAUAGUGAAUUUAGCAAUAAUAUUUUGUUUUGUUGAUUUCCAUGCAAUUGUACCACCUCCUAGAGUUAGUGGAUUUUAUUUCAUCUGAAUCUAAAAUCCAAUUAGUAUCACUAUAUCAUUCUAAUACAGCGAAAAAUCCACUAUAUAAGAUUUCAUAGUUCAUGGUACCUCUCAAAUCUUUCAUUAGUCUAACUAAUGCAGCCCAAUGAUCGUCAUUGGGAUUAUGUGUAAACCUACUCAAUCUACAUACAAUAUAAGCUAUAUCAGAUCGUGAAAAAUUCAUUAAAUGCAACAGAUUUCCAAUGAUUUGUACAUAUUUAAAUUGAGCAUCAGAGUCACCUCUAUUUUUCUUUAAUUGAGAGUUAGGAUCAUAAGGGGUGCUCACUGAUUUGACAUCGAAAUGUCCAAACUUUCUUAGAAGCUUCUCAAUAUAAUGCUCUUAUGAUAGCAUUAUACUAGCAUAAUUCUUUACGAUUUUAACUCCCAAAAUCACAUUUGCCUCUCCCAUAUCUUUCAUAUCAAAUUUAGAGGUAAGAAAAAUUUUUAUUUUACAAACUAUACCAUAACUCGUACAAAAAAUAAGUAUAUUAUCCACAUAUAAAUAAAUAAUCACAGAUUCACCAUUUAUACGUUUUGUAUAUGCGCACUUAUAAACUUCAACAGAGAAAAAACCAUCAUUUAAUAAAACUUGAUCAAAUUUCUCAUGCCACUAUUCGGGUGCUUGUUUUAAACCACAUAAGGAUUUGAGAAGUUUAUAAACUUUAUUUUCUUGACCAAAAAUAAUAUAACCAUCAGGAUAUACAAUAUAAAUUUCUUCUUCCAACUCUCCAUUUAAAAAAAUUAUUUUAACAUCCAUUUGAUGAAUAACAAAUUUAUGUAUAGAAACUAAAACAAUUAAUACUCUAAUAAAAGAAAUUCAUGCUAUAGGGACAAAGGUGUCAAGAUAAUCUAUACUGAGAUGCAUGAUGACCCGACUUACCACAUACAAAACAAUGUCCUUUCUUUUUAAAUGUGUGAUUAUUAAACUUAGUCUUGUAAUCAGGUUUUUUAUUUUCGUAUUUGUUAUUUGACUUGUUCACUUUCCUUGUACAAUAUUUAUUCUUGUAGUUAGCUCUUUGCCUUUUGUAGUUUUGAGUUUCCUCCCGUCUAUAUCUUCAAUGAUUAUAUGGGUGAUGAGAUCUGACGGUAUCAACUACUUAUGCUUGUGUUUCAAUUGUUACUAACAAAUUUAUGUAUAGAAACUAAAACAAUUAAUACUCUAAUAAAAGAAAUUCAUGCUACAGGGACAAAGGUGUCAAGAUAAUCUAUACUGAGAUGCAUGAUGACCCGACUUACCACAUACAAAACAAUGUCCUUUCUUUUUAAAUGUGUGAUUAUUAAAUUUAGCCUUGUAAUCAGGUUUUUUAUUUUCGUAUUUGUUAUUUGACUUGUUCACUUUCCUUGUACAAUAUUUAUUCUUGUAGUUAACUCUUUACCUUUUGUAGUUUUUAGUUUCCUCCUGUCUAUAUCUUCAAUGAUUAUAUGGGUGAUGAGAUCUGACGGUAUCAACUACUUAUGCUUGUGUUUCAAUUGUUACUUGUAGUCACUCCAAGAAUUUGGUAAUUUUUCUAUCAGGAAUUCAGCUACAAAUUCAUCUUGUAGAGUGAUGUUUUCAACUUUAAGAUCUUUUAGAAGUUUAUGGUACUCAUUGAUUUGCAUUUUGAUAUCUUUUCUUCAAUUAUUUUCCAUUUAUAAAAAUUACCAAUUACAAAUUUUUAUUUUUCAGCAUCCUUGGCAGUAUAUUUUAGGUUCAUCAAAUCCUAUAUUUCUUUUGCUUACUUGUAGGAAUAGUAGACAUCAAAGAGAUCGUUAGAAAGAAUACUAACUAUUAUAUGCCUAUACACCUUAUUAGAAUAUAUCUAGAUUUUACACAAUUUUGGAUCAAUAAAAGGUGCAGAUCUUGAUUCUGUGAGUGUUGAAGCUACGCUAUGCAUGUCAAGCAUUGAAAAAAUUAUCUCUUGCCAUCUCUUGAAAUUCUAACUCGAAAAGACUUCAAUUUUCGUUUGACAUAUGGAACCGUAGGUAGAAGAGACCCACUAUUUGCAGCAGUAGAAAACGUGGCGGCAGGAAGCACAGCAGAAGCAGAGGCAGUGACAAUGUUAUUGGAAGCAGGUAGUGCAGAAACAAAAAAAGUAACAACAUUUGGUUCUAUUUGUUUAAAGUUUUAAAUAAUCCUUAAGAUUGUUAGAUAUGGAAAUAGAAAAACGUAGUCUGAGUCAUGUGUUGCACUCUCUUUAAUAUAACCCAACAGGUAAAGCAAGAUAGAAAAGUAAAGAGUGCAUAGAAAAACAAUUAUCUAUGAACUGUAAAAGUAAAAUCUAUUUAUAAUCGUAGAAAAAGAAAUAUGAAAAUUGUUUAGAAAAAUAAGAAAAGACAUUAAAAUUAUUAGAAAAAUCUACUCAAAGAUUAAAUUUGUUUAAAAAAAUCAGCAAAAACGUUCAAAUAAAAAUCUCACAAGAGUUAUAAACGAUUUGAAUUUAAUAAAAAUAAUUAUUUAUCGAUAAAAUUCAAAAAAACAAAUAAAUAAAAAAUAAAAAUUUUAUAAUUUUAUUUAUCUGCAUAUAAAAAAAAAUAAAUUGACAAAUUCAAAUUAAAAUUAACUUUUUAAUCCAAAUUCAUGCGCGUGAAUUUUACUUCUCCUAUUUUUUUUUUACCAUUCUAAUAAUAAAAAAACCAUUUAUGAAAAAAAAAAAAUUAUCUUUUCAAUGUGGAAAAAAAAAGCUUAUGAAAUAUAAAAUUUUACAAUAAAACCUUAAAUUCCCACAAAUUAAUCUAGGAAAGUUAAUUUCUUGCUUUUUGCAGUCCUAUAUAAGCCCAAAAGAAAAGCCUGAAUUCUUGAACAAUGACCGUUCGCUAAAUACAGAACAGGUAGCAAAAUUAAAACGCGCAUGCACAGAACAGAAGUACAUUUCAAAUACCAACAUCCACAUAUUGCAAACAAAUUUUGACAUUAACAUCGGUCCUUCAAUUUCAAGCACAUUAAACUCCACUUAACAACAAAGAGCUACAGGCCCUAAGAUCCUAAACCCAUCUACCGAACAAAAUGCACAAACAGAGCCCUCUGUCUCUCCAUUUAAGACACAGUAACCUCAACUUUUUUGGCCUUGGGUGGUGGAGGAUGCUUCUCAACAACAACUGUUAGAACCCCAUUUUCGCAUUUGGCAGUAAUGGCAGAUACAUAGGCAUUUUAAUGGGAGAGAAUGCGGUACCAAAUAUAAUGGGAGACGAAGGAAAGUUCGAGAGGAGAUAUAGGAAGAGUCGGGAAGAAUCGCAAGCAUUAUGGAGUGAUCCCGUGUGUGCACGUGUACUUGUUAGGGACAUUGUGGAAUCUUGUUGAGUAGAUAUUUAAAACGUGGUGUGAAUGAGAAGGGUAGGGUGGCUAAUGAUGUUGAGACAGAACAAAUUGUUUUUGAAGAUGUUCCUGAGGGACAUCCAGUGCAAAUAAGUUCUAUUGUACAAGAUCGGGGUUCAAUUCCACUUUUCUGGUCCCAGGAAACUUCACGAUUGCAUAUUAAACCUGAUAUUAUAUGUGUGAUUUCGGCAGACUUAAAUUGUGAUAAUCUCAGUGGUAAUUUUUCAUAAAAUAUGCUGAUUUCUUGUUCUGUUCACAGUAUUGAAGAAAGACCAAAAUUAUGAGGCUACGAAGCUUCAUUUUGAAAAUCUUGUAAAGAGAUAUUGAAAUCCGAUAAUCAUUUUGAAUUUAAUAAAGGUAGGCCCCAGCAAUGUUUAAGAGAAAAAUUGUUACGUAUGUGCAUGACCAUGCAUGUAAAUGGAUCAUAAUCUUUUGGCAACUGUGUUCAUGACUGACAGACACAUGAAAAGAAGCCUCGAGAAAGUAUACUCCGCACUGAGUUUGCUAAUGCUAUCAGAUACAUAAAUAAAGGCUUAUCGGAGGAUAAGCGCCUUAGGUUCCUCCACUGGGAUUUGCAUAGACAUUCCAGAAAGUAUUAAGCUCGCAUUAGUCCUCCUUGUUUUUCCCUUCUCCAAUUACUUUUGGUGUUAUUGAUGUGAAUAUUAUUUGGUUGUUUUUGAACAGAGCUACCAAUGUAUUGUCACUUCUAGGGAAAGUGGCAGCAUAUGCGUUGAACUUGACUGGCAUCUUUUAUUGUCAAGUCACACCAAGUUUAAGGCCCAUUGGGUUUUUGUAUUCAUCUGAGUAAGUAAUGCUGCUGACUUCUUUACAGCAUUUUUCAUCUCUUAUGACAAGGUUUUCUGUGCUUUGAUUGUCCAUUUAAACAAUCUUUUGGCAUUGCUUUUGAACCUAUUUAUAAUUCACAGCAUUUGAUUUAUGAUUUGUUGAAUUGUAACGGCAAAGAUUCAUAAUGCUCAUUUAUUAUUCGAGGUUGGUGCUUGACCAGCUUGGGGAAUGCUUUUAGACAUUUAUAUUUGCUGGCUUAUGCCUUGAGGAAUAUUGUACUCCAUUAGCAACUUCUCAUUUUAGCCAAAUUACUAUCAUUUCUGCUUAAUUAUUGCUAGCUAUUUAUGCUGUUGGCAAUGUAAAUAUUCUCCAGAAAAAAUGAUGAUGAAUGCUCUCUCAAAAUUACUUCCAAUGAAAAUGACUUGAGAAGGAAUUUGGACUCAGGAAUUACCAAUGCUUGUUCUGAAGAUGACAUAAAUCAGAGUAUCAAGACCCCUAUGUUUCAAAAUGGGGUGCUAAGGACCAAUUGCAUAGACUGUUUAGAUCGCACAAAUGUUGCCCAACAUGCCUGUGGUCUGGUGGCUCUUGGUCAUCAACUGCGUGCUCUUGGAUUAAUAGAAUCAGAAAAUAUUGAUUUAGAUAAUCCGUUAGCAGAGGAUUUAUUGGGGAUCUUUGAGACAAUGGGUGACACACUUGCAUUACAGUAUGGUGGCUCUGCUGCACACAACAAGGUAAUUCUUUCUGAAUAAGGUUGAAUUUAAAAUUUUUAGAUAUUACACAAUGCAACUGGGAUUAGAGAUAUUUGCUUGUAAUAUGUUUGCCAGUAGGUCUAUUGCCUUUGUUCUGUUUGAUGAAUUUGAUGUAUUUGAUUUCUCCAAGAUUAUAAACUUGUGGCUGUGGCUGUUGCUCUUUAGUGAAUAACAUAGAAGUGUAGAAUUUUAGAAACAGCAAAGAAAUUGUGCGUGGUAGUUUUUAAUAAGUAUAUUUUAAAGUGUGAAACAAAUGAGUAUGAUCUAUCAACCAUGCCAACUGGUGGUGUUAUUAGGUUUGAAAUUUAAUUUAACUUAAGUAACUUCGCAUGCAGUCAUCUAUUUGGUUGUGCCGAGGAAAGAACAAAGAGUUUAAUUUUGAUGUCUGAACCUGUCCAUCAGUGAUGAAGUAAGCAAGCUGAGUGAGUUAAGACAAAUUAUUUAGUAUAGGAAGCAAUUUAGAUACUAAUAUUAUUAGUUAAUCAUUUUAAAAGUAGAAGAAUUAUAUGCUUUUCCUAUCUUUAUUCUUAAAAUAAUUUAUUUACCACUCCUUGGGACAGCUGUAGUUUGGAACUUUACUUCUAACAUUUGAACCCCUUCUUGUAGGCUCAAAUAAACUACUUUUUCAUUAGAGUGAAAUCCAGUUGAUAUUGGGUUACAAUUUGCCCUUUGGCAUAUCGGAUGAGACUCAUUUGUUCUUUUCCCGUCUAGAUGCUUUGAUUUCUCUAGACUAGAAUUCGUUGGUUCCCGUUUGUCACUGUUUUGAAAUGAUGUUAACAGAUAUUUUAAGAAAGGAGAGGCCAGAGGAAAGCUGCAACUCAGUCCCAAGAGUUUUUUAGAACUUUACAGCGUUAUUACAGCAAUGCAUACAUGGAUGCUGAAAAACAAGACGCUAUUAACGUGUAAGUUAAAUCUGCUUUCUUUUCAAAAGCAUCAGAGUUUUUCCUGGAAUAGAAGCUACAAGGCAUUCUCAAAUUUUGAUAUGAGGUGCACUGGCAUGGGAAAGUUACUUGUUUAACAUGACAGUAAUUUUUAAGCAGAUUCUUGGGUCACUUCCAGCCACAACAGGGAAAGCCAGCAUUAUGGGAAUUGGAUUCAGAUCAGCAGCACAAUGUUAGAGGACAUGGUCCUGAUUUGGUUGAUGAGCGUGCUAGGUACUAUAUUCCUCAUGAUUGCAAAUAUUCUCCGCAUGAAAAUUUUGUUCAUCAGCAAACAAUGCGUUAGUGCUACUGUGGUUUCCUUAGAAACUACAAAACAUUUCAGAAAAUCAUGUCAGAAAUUCGCACAUUUUGCUUUUAUCAGAUAAUAGAAAUAAGUAAUCAUACAAAAAGAGGAUGGAGCUUCUGAAUGCAGGAGAACCCAUUUAACACAUAGAUCACAGACCUCUUCAGUUGAAAAUCUCUCUCAAUUGUAUGGAUCCUGUUCUACUGUUAUUGUACAGAUAAAUUUCUCAGCUUAAAGCUAAUUUUUUUUUUUUUUUCAUGAUUCUCUUUUUUUUUUUUUAUAAAAUUAUUGUUCUCGCAUCUUAUGAAAUCAUUCAGUAUUUUUAUCUUGAAAAUUGCAGAUGACCAUUUCAUAUUUGUGUCUCAGUAGAAUUUGUGUGCUUUUGGGCCAGGAUAUACAAUGCAAACUGAUCCAGGACCAAGAGUUCCUUUUUUGAAUUUCUAACAUUGAUUUCUGCUAUCUUCAGGUCAUUCAUUAAAAGGUCACUAUCAGAUUGGGAGCUUUUUUUCAAUUCAUGUAUAAUAAAAAAAAUAUUUAUUAAACCACGCAGAAUCCGAAAAUAUUUUCGAAUUCUUUGUGUCAAACAAAUAUGUUCGACACUAUGAUUGUCGAACACGCUUGUUCGACACUCAUAGUGUCAAACAAAGUACGGAAGCAUGUUGUUCGACACUAUUAGUGUCGAACAACAUGCACAGCUCAUUCACGUCCAAGCCGUCAAGCCGUCAAGGUGUCCAUCAAAUUGCUGGACAUGUUCGGGUCCUUCCUCUAACAGUUUUAUAUAAAAAUAAUAUUUUAUUAAUUUUUUAAUUUUUUAUAAAUUUAAAAAUUAAUUAAUAAAUUUUUUAAAAUUAUAAAAUUUAAAUUAAAAAAAUUUAAAAAUAUUUUUUAAUUUCAAAUGCUUUUCAUUUUUAUUUAUUAAAAUUUAGCCUUUAAAUAAUUAAAUUCUUUUAAAAAUAUAAAAAAUAAAUUAAAAAUAUUUUAAAAAUAUUUUUUGACGGCUUAAAUUUUCUGCAAUCCAUUGCUUCAUANNNNNNNNNNNNNNNNNNNNNNNNNNNNNNNNNNNNNNNNNNNNNNNNNNNNNNNNNNNNNNNNNNNNNNNNNNNNNNNNNNNNNNNNNNNNNNNNNNNNNNNNNNNNNNNNNNNNNNNNNNNNNNNNNNNNNNNNNNNNNNNNNNNNNNNNNNNNNNNNNNNNNNNNNNNNNNNNNNNNNNNNNNNNNNNNNNNNNNNNNNNNNNNNNNNNNNNNNNNNNNNNNNNNNNNNNNNNNNNNNNNNNNNNNNNNNNNNNNNNNNNNNNNNNNNNNNNNNNNNNNNNNNNNNNNNNNNNNNNNNNNNNNNNNNNNNNNNNNNNNNNNNNNNNNNNNNNNNNNNNNNNNNNNNNNNNNNNNNNNNNNNNNNNNNNNNNNNNNNNNNNNNNNNNNNNNNNNNNNNNNNNNNNNNNNNNNNNNNNNNNNNNNNNNNNNNNNNNNNNNNNNNNNNNNNNNNNNNNNNNNNNNNNNNNNNNNNNNNNNNNNNNNNNNNNNNNNNNNNNNNNNNNNNNNNNNNNNNNNNNNNNNNNNNNNNNNNNNNNNNNNNNNNNNNNNNNNNNNNNNNNNNNNNNNNNNNNNNNNNNNNNNNNNNNNNNNNNNNNNNNNNNNNNNNNNNNNNNNNNNNNNNNNNNNNNNNNNNNNNNNNNNNNNNNNNNNNNNNNNNNNNNNNNNNNNNNNNNNNNNNNNNNNNNNNNNNNNNNNNNNNNNNNNNNNNNNNNNNNNNNNNNNNNNNNNNNNNNNNNNNNNNNNNNNNNNNNNNNNNNNNNNNNNNNNNNNNNNNNNNNNNNNNNNNNNNNNNNNNNNNCUGCGUGAUUUAAUAAAUAUUUUUUUUAUUAUACAUGAAUUGAAAAAAAGCUCAUCAGAUGGCAAUCUUCUUUGUGAAAGUGACUCGCUUGUAACAGCUACCAAGGUUGCACAUAAUAAGGCUUUUUCCGAGGAGCAAGGAGUUUGCAAGGGUCUUUCAGAUUCAACUCCAGAGAUCUCCACCUGUGAAAGUGAUAUGUCAUACUCUAGGUCUGUAUUAAAUCACAUCUCCAUACUUGUUACUUCACCACAUCACUUUUUGAUACAAUACACCCAUGUUAAAACACAUUGUAAAGUAGCAUAUGUAAAUGCUAAUGCCCAAGAAAGCCAGGCUUGUAAGUGUUAACCAGCUUUUCAAAUUUAGCAUGUAAUAAUUACAUUCAACAGUCGGUAAAUUUAAUGUUCAUGAACUCUGAUGAGAGAGCAUUCAACUGCAUUGCUGCUGACAGAAUGUUGGUUGUCAAUUUAGGUAUACUCCCUCAAUGCCUCGCAUGCAACUUUUUAAAGAUAUAGGGGAAGAAUACUAUGAAAGUGAUCCUAUUUGCUAUGAUGAACAUGGGGAUGCAUGUAGUUGCUCAAAUUUUCUUGACUUGGACUGGCUUUCUUCAUCAGGGAAUUCUUGUGAAGGAGAUCCUUUCGAUAGGUAAGUUUAUGGUUCCACCGAGUUCUUGAACGCAGUGGCUUACAAAUAAUAGUUAACGCCCAUUGAUGUUUUAAUGGUUGCAGGUCAAUUGCUGGCCUAUCACAUGAUUGUCUUGUGAAUGAACUGAAACGCGAAAUAUCUGCCAGUGAGUCUGGAUCUAGCUCGAAGGUUAGUGUUGAAUAUCUGACACUUACGACAUAGCGGUUCCACGGGAGGAUGUCUAUAGAUGAUAAAUUAAUUUCAAUACAUGCUUCUAGGCAGAUAAUAAUCAUUUUACGUUUCGUUGAGAAAAUUUUCUUAAUUAUAUUAGAAAUAUUAAAUAUUAAAUUGAAAAAAUUACUAUUUAGUCCAUACUAUAUUUAGUAUGGAAAAACUCAUUAGUUAGACUUUUGAUUUUAAAAAAUGCAUUAAAAUGUCCCUAACAUUUUAAAAAGUUUAUUAGGUAUUUCUUCCAUUAAUUUUAAUCGUUAAGAAUUAUAAAAAAAUUAAAAUAUUUAAGGAAUUAAUUAGUAAACUUUUUAAAAAUUUGAGAGAUCAACUAAUAAGUUUUUCAAAAUUAUAAGAACUAAAUAGUAAAAUAUUUAAUAGCAAAAUUAACAUUUGAAAAAUUAUAAGAACUAAAUAGUAAAAUAUUUAAUAGCAAACCUAGCAUUUGAACUAAGUAGUAGACUUUUUAAAAUAUUAAAAACGGUUUAAUAUAUUUUUUAAAAUUAAAAAAAUAAUUAAUGAAUUUUAUCAUAUUAUAGGAAUAAAUUUUCCGUAAGAAUAUCAAUAUAAUAAAACAACAUUUUCCCUAUGGUAUCUAAAAUGAUGUUUUUCUAAAAAACAAUUCUGGUUUUGCACAUCAGUUAUAAUCUUAUAAUUUGCGUGGCUGCGUUAGUUUCAAAUAUUAAUUUAGCAUAUUCCUUUUACCUCUAGGGAAGAAAUCAAACCGGGACUGACAUCUCUUCCGAAGACGAGACAGUCAGAGAGGUGGAUUUUCAGAGCGGUUUCUAUGGUGGGUAACACAUGGGGAGACACUUUUUCAAAUAAGUUAGUUAUUUUGGAUUUGAGAUGAUAGUAAUUUAUCCGAUUUCUUUGGUCCCAUCCGAAAGAUGUGAAUUACAUAAUAGAGAAUAAAGAGUAGGAGACCUUCCUAAAGAUAAGAAAGGCACCGGCAUCUCCUGAAACUAUGUACUGAAUUACUGUAAUGGUAGUGUCUGAUUUUUGUUCAGAAGGGUGUGAUCGAGGCAACACAACACGAACAUGCUAAUUCAUUUGGAGCUCUCAGCUCAGGUUCUCCAACUCCUCUAAGAUAAAAAAUAAUCUUACAUUUAAAUUUCAAAUCUAGAUUCCUAGUUUGCAAUUUAGGUUAAAUUUGUAGUCAGUCUUUAACUCUUGUUUAUAAAAUGAACUCAUUAUUGACAGCUGCUUCAAUAGUAGAUCUCGUUAAUAAGGCAAUACUCGAGUGAUAACUUUGCGAUCGAUUAAUUCAUAUAGACAUUUUGUUUUAUAUAUUCAUCGCAUCAUCCACUCCGAGGGCAAGCUAAUUUCUGGAAACCCAUGCCCACGCUGCAUCAUCAGGGUGAAGCAAUUUUUCAGGUAUUCUUUUUUCUAAUGAACAGGCAAAGCAGCGGAAAAUUUAAUAGUUUCAAAGACUGAUUUUGGGGAGGUUGAAAACAUUCACCGAAGUAACGGCUUGAAUUUUAACGGCUUGAAUUUGUUACGUAUAACAGGUUAAACUGAUAGUUCAAGUUUUUCCAUAAUCAGUCAAAAUUUCAAUCGGUAUGGUUUUUUUUUUUCAAAAGACCCAUCUUAUAUAUCGGCCACUCCAUUAACUUUUUCUUUUUUGAACUUUUCAACAUUAAAAAAGCAAGAAAACUUGUCUGUUGAAAAAUAAGAAAACAACAUCACUAGGUCAAUGAAGAUCAACUUUCAAAAACUUUGAUGUUCGUAAUCCCUUAAAAAAAAAAAACUAAUAAAAUUUUAAUAUGUAUAGAAAAUCCUCAUGCUUUACUCAUCCCAGCCAGUAGGAGCAAGCGCAGGGGUGGGGGCUGCUGCACCUGCAAAUUGCGGGGUGGGGGCUGCCGCUGCACCUGCAAUAUGCGGGGUGGGGGCUGCCGCUGCACCAGCAAAUUGCGGUGGUGGAGCUGCAGCAUCCCAUUCUGUGGUGAAUCCACCUAAAGUUGAACCCAAAAAGAAGUGUUGUCAGAAAGAAAAGAAAUCGGAAAAAAAAAAAGGGAGUUGGAUCAAAAGCAGCAUCUGACAACUUCAUGAAAUGUAAAUUUAAAAUGAUUAAGGGAGCUAAACUGGUGUUGGAGUAACUCAAUACCUUGUUCUGGAUAGAAAUUGGCAGCAGGAACAGCAGCAAUAGGUGGUGGAGCUGCUUCAGCAGUCCAUUGGCCAUCAGCAAUUUGGGCACCCCAAUCAGCUGCAGGAAGCCCAUAAUCAGCAGGAGGUAGUGCAUAAUCAGCAACGGGCACUGCUUCCUCCUCUUCCUGUUCCUUGGUUUCCUCAGGUUCU
Molecule: long non-coding RNA, 22324 nt
Filed under: Manihot esculenta (cassava)
Lineage: Eukaryota; Viridiplantae; Streptophyta; Magnoliopsida; Malpighiales; Euphorbiaceae
Description: long non-coding RNA (MESC_LNC006333)
Source: RNAcentral